GGGCCCAUGGGCGGUAAAUCGUUUUUAGGGCGGUUUUUGGUGGACCAUCAUCGUCCACCCUCGUCCGCUUGAGCACGGAGCGCCUUAGAGCAACAUGCCGGGUCUCCCAGACUUCCGAGAGGAACCUGGCUAGUGCCAGGGGUGGGGCUUCGGUCAUAAUGGUGUGCAUGUUGCACCCUUGAAACACGAGGUCACGUUCGCCCGUGUACUAAUGUACGCCAGGCAUUCCACAAAGACAUGCAUUUUGUCUUCAACCGCCCCGCAGUCACAAAGCCUGCAGGUGCACGCUGUGCACUCAUGGCCAUUAGGUUGGUUAAUCUCUAACUCCCAACAGCCUAACCGGAAACAUAUAAGCAUUUGAUGCAAACAUUGGGGCAUGGCGAUUUCAGGUGGUCAUUAUGGAUUUCAGCACGAACAAUGAACCCUGCCCGCUCCCCCUGGUCAGUUGUGGGCAAGCAUCAGAGAAUCGGGUGAGAGACCGAGCUUUCUAUUAGGGCCUGGUGCCUUAAUAGGGAGGGGUAGGGUCUGUACAGGGUUUCCGGGUUUCCUCGGUCUUCUUGAACCUUCACCCCAAGAGCCAGUCUUCUUGUGUGUUUCAGGCUCAGUGCUCAAACUCG
Molecule: long non-coding RNA, 617 nt
Filed under: Volvox carteri
Lineage: Eukaryota; Viridiplantae; Chlorophyta; Chlorophyceae; Chlamydomonadales; Volvocaceae
Description: long non-coding RNA (VCAR_LNC002045)
Source: RNAcentral